UACAGAGGGGGCAAGCGUUGUUCGGAAUUACUGGGCGUAAAGGGCGCGUAGGCGGCCCGCUAAGUCGAACGUGAAAUCCCCGAGCUCAACUCGGGAACUGCGUCCGAUACUGGUGGGCUUGAAUCCGGGAGAGGGAUGCGGAAUUCCAGGUGUAGCGGUGAAAUUCGUAGAUAUCAAGCGGAACACCGGUGGCGAAGGCGGCCUUCUGGACAGUGACUGACGCUGAGACGCGAAAGCGUGGGGAGCAAACAGG
RNAcentral lists this ribosomal RNA (253 nucleotides) under uncultured bacterium. RNAcentral describes it as "partial 16S ribosomal RNA". It matches the Rfam family "Bacterial small subunit ribosomal RNA", at positions 524 to 776 of the family's 1533-position model. The record is from RNAcentral.